CUGCAUGGCUCCCAGUCCCAGCUCCAACAGUAUACAUAUUAAUACUCGCCUGGCUUUCUUCUUCAUUAGGAGCCACAUCUAGGUUUCAAAGAGAGUCCGAGCAAUUAAAAGGGAAGUUAGGAAGAGCAGGGCUGAUGUAAGAAUAAAGGUACUUAUCACAUCAGUUAUAGCACUCCUCUGUGUGUAGCCAACACUAAUUACUCCUGUUGAGUAAAUACUAAAGUGCCUUGGACGUCUCCUUGUAUUCUAUACACCAUUACAGAGGAUGGGGAACUGUUGUGCGUUAUAAUACUGGCAUGAAAAGAAAAACAGCAGGGCAUUCUUCUCCUGUUGGCUGGAUAAGAUGUGUAAAGACCAGGUGGUGGUGGGAGUCCAUUAAAGAGAAGGAGUGGCUGGAGAGGGAAUCCAUCGUCACCACCACGCAGGCCAAAGAGAGGGGCUGAAGUACCCCUCUACCCACUGCUGAUGUCCCUUCAUGUUUGGAGCUCUACAGUACCAACCACAAUGCAUCUCUCUCAAACAGAGAGAGCCAUACAUUAUAGGUCUGUGACAAUGGCCUAUGUACUGCAGACUUAGUGUACUCUGACUGUGUGAUUCUGAUGUUGAUGACAUGACCAACAAGACAGAUAUUUGUUUCAGGGCAUUUUUAGGAUGUACUUGUCUCCUUUACGAUUGUCAAAUUGCUUUAGAGAGUGCAAUAGGUAUUGUGUAUGUGUUAUCAUGUAUCCAACAGCUGGGCCAAGCUCUAUGUAUCCCUAUGCUUCAUACAGUUAAAGUAUAUUCCUAGUAUACACUUUCCCUCACUUGUUUAAGGGUUGCAGACAUGGUUGUGCAUUAGGCCACAGCACCCUUCUCUGCUAGUGCCAUUUUACUUAAUUCCAAUAAAAUAUGGUGGAGCAGGGCUCUCUAAAAGCCUCUCCCUGGCCAGGAGGCCUGCUGGGAGGGGAGACUGACUAUCUGACCCCAUGGGCCACAGUGUGCCACAGUAAGAGCGCACAGGUUUGAUUGGGACCAUUACAUCCACACAAUCCAAAGACAGAGAGAGUUAAAAAGGGUAUUUGCCAGGUAGCCAAUCCCUAUGCCUAUAUUAAACUGACAUUUUGUAAUGUCAUUAAUGCACAUUCACUUCUGCAGCUUUUGGUGUCAUUGUACCCAAAAAAUACAUAGCACAGCUUUUAUACAAGGACAUAGGGUGUCAGAUCAACAUAUGAGAAGAUGCUUCACCAGAUCCAAUACUUAUUCUCCCCUCACACACAGAACAGUCUGGCCGGCCACUACUCUCAUCUCCAUGUAUGCAAUACAAACCUUCAUGGCAUAUUGCAAUAUGUACCGAACCUUGUUUGGAGUACAUUAACCUGGCUCACAACAAUAGAUAUGCACACCCUGAGGGGGAUAGGGGUUUAUUGACUUCCUGCAAUGUCUUCUCGUCUGUUGGUUAACUGGACACGUUUCAGUACGCAGGAAUGCGGGUGCAUUUGGAAAGCUAAAAACACGUUGAAAUGAUUUCAUCUGAAGAGGGAUUGGGAUGUCUCUUUAAUGCUGGAGGGGUUAUUUAGUGGUGGUUAUUUUCUUACCAGUGGUCUACCAAGGGAUUGGAAGGAUAUGUGAAGAAAAGCAAAUGAGCAAUUACAAUGUAUUAUAGACACUGACACUAUCUAAUAUGGAUAUUAUGUCAGUCAAGAGUCUGAUUUUCACCAAUAAAGAGUUACAUACCAAAAUA
Molecule: long non-coding RNA, 1720 nt
Organism: Oncorhynchus kisutch (coho salmon)
Lineage: Eukaryota; Metazoa; Chordata; Actinopteri; Salmoniformes; Salmonidae
Exons: 2
Source: RefSeq, a predicted model, not a curated record